CACAACAGGAAUUUAUUCUCUUCCAGUUCCGGAGGUCAGAAGUCUGAAAUGGAGGGGUCAGCAGGGCUGGGCUGUUCCUGCAGACGGUAGGAGAGAAUCUCUCGUUGCCUCUUCCAGCUUCUGGCAGGCCUUCGCUUCCUGGCUGCAAACUCCAGUUUCUGCCUCUGCGGUCACUCUGCCUCCUCUUCCUCUCUCUUCUAAGGAAACUUUUCUUGGUUUUGGGCGGGAUCCUAGGGACCCCCAGAUAAUCCAGGAUGAUCUCCUAGUGAGACCCUUAACUUAUUUACAUCUGCAAAGAUCCUUUUUCCACACAAGCUCCCACUCACGGGUUCUGGGAGUUAGUGCACAUCUUUGGGGGGCCACCAGUCACCUCGCUAUGAAAGGAAUUCAUGUCUGCUCUUCCACUCUGCACAAAUAUUAGUUUUCCAUAUGUUUCUCCAACAAAUUCUGUACUUUGCUGAUGGUCAGGCGUCAUUAAAGUAGUCUCCAAUGGCUGUUUCGGGCUUACCCAAAUACUUUUGUCCUCCCCCCACCACAUCCAAACACACACACACAAAAUAACAUAUCUGCACACAGAUGGUUACACACUGUCCCCAGGUCCUUGUACAGAAAUGUGCGUGUGUGCCGCAGUCCUUCACUUGACACGUAUUUGUUGAGUGCUCACCAUGUGCUAGGCCCUGUGGAGGCACUGGAAACGCUGCAGUGAACGAGGCAGCAAGCCCACGCCUUGUUUACAUUCUGCUGAAAUAUUUACACGCACACACGAUGAUGUAUGUAGAUGCAGAGCCCGCAAGGUUUUUCCAUGCCUGGGGCUCCCAGAAGGACUGAAGUCAGCAAUUCCAGGCCACAGGCAGCAAGGGGAUGUGAAGGCCUUUAAUGCAAAUAAACCAAGUCACCAGGAAAGUCAUUUUUAAAACAACAAAUCCUUGAUUAAGUGAAACCCUUGUGGGCAAGGGUGAACUCCCCACCCGUUUCUGAAAGCGCAAAGCACUGUUAUGGAAGCGCUCGGAGUUCUUGGGUGAGAGAGGAGUCUGAGCAAAGGGACCAGCUGGGCCUUGAACAGCCAGCACAUGCUGGAUUUGAGGUCAGCCCCAAGGACAAGGCGUGCUGGGCCGCCUGGAGGGGAGACAGCGUGACCACAAGAGACAGCCAGGGCUCAGCCGUCAGCUAUGAUCUGCAGGGUAAGAGAAUUUUCUGGGAGAGGUGUGUUUGCUCCACACCUAGUGAUUGAGAAAAAGGAUGCCUCAGAGAACUCAUUCAAGUACCCAAAGCUUCAAAGAAGGGACUUUAAACAUCCAACAAAUCCAAAACCUACGCACAGCAGAAAUGUUCAAAAGCAAGAUGAGGAGAGGCAGUGUUUCAUCUUCAGCCUGGGUCGUGCAAGCCAAGGGUGUCUGUAAUGUCCCUUGGUGGUGGUUCCAGGAUGAAACAGCACACCCAAGAGAGUACCUUCAAGUGGAGGCCAGAUGCAAGACAGACCUGCAGUCCCAAACAUACCAAAGGCUCUUGAGCACAGGUGCCUCAGAACAGAACAUUUAAGAAAACUGCAGGCCUGGACUGUGGGUGAAGACAGCAGAGAACAGAACUAAUCCCCCCUAAACAAGACACUGUUUCCUGCCUUCUUUCCCACUGCUUCUUCUAGUAGCUUCUUAUCCCAUUGUUGCCAAACUUGAUAUGUGCAUGCUAAGUAGCUUCAUUUAUGUCCAACUAUUUGUGACCCCAUGGACUGUAGUCCACCAGGCUCCUCUGUCCAUGGGACUCUCCAGGCAAGAAUACUGGAGUUGGUUACCACGCCCUUCUCCAGGGUAUCCUCCUGACCCAGGGAUCGAAUCCAUGUCUCUUAUGUCUCCUGCAGGUUGACAGGUGGGUUCUUUACGACUAGCACUCUCUGGGAAGCCUGCCCAGCUCCAUAUCAACACACUAUUCUGUAAAUUCAUGGUGGACGCUGGGAUCCCCACAAGGAAAUGAAGAUCCCCAUUCAGGAACGAAGCACAUGUUACCUCAGAGUGACCCUCACUGAGGGUGAGGUAAGUGACCCUCACUUACCCUCACUGAGGGUAAGCCUCAGCCACACUGAGGAUAAGCCUCAGCCACAGUCAAGAAGAGCCUCACUGAGGACAGCCACCCCGAGCAAGGUCACAUCCUCACAUCAGGCAGCCCACGUCUAAGGACUGAUUGUCAUAGGAGGAUAAAGGGCAAGCCCUCUCACUCCCCCUCCCACUUCAAACCAGCUCUGGAGUUUGGUCCCAGCUGCAGCCAGAGGCAGCUCAAGGCUUCCACGGAAACAUCAGCAGAUCCUGCUACCCUUUCUCAUUCCAUCCUGCUCCACAUCAAAGGACUCUCCCAUCAGCAUAAUUCUCCAGUCUCAGAACUGGGAUUGGAAUAAUCCAUCCGAAGCUCUGGGUGAAGCCAAAACUGCAACACAGAAGCUUAGAGCAGAAGUCAGUUCAAGGGGAUACCGAACACAAGAACUGGCCUGGAUGCUGCUUGUGGAGCUCUGCAGAUCCAAGAGCCCAGGAGGGGGUGAGGAGGAAGAGAGAGAGACGCCACUCAGAGUGUAUUGCGCUGCUCAGACUGCUCUUCUGGAAAAUUUAGCCCUACGAAAGCCACCAGCUUUGCAGCUGUAAAUCAAUUUCAGUUAUUCCUCUCUUCCCUGCCUCAAUUCCUCUCUCCUCCUCUCUCUCUUCUUCCCUCCCUCCCUUCUCACCUUUCUUAUCUUUCUUCCCAUUCUUCUAACUUAAUUUUUUCCAAUGAUUAAAAAAGAAAACCUAUUUAUUAUAAGCAUUUUAGAAUGCAAAGUAUUAAUAUGGAAAGAAAACUAUCACUCAGAGAUAAUCACUAGUAAGUAACAUUCUUUAAAAAAUUUUUUUUCACAGAGACCGUUUUUAAAACCUUUAUUGAAUUUGUCACAAUGUUGCUUCUGUUCUAUGAUUUGUUUUUUUGGCCUCGAGGCAUGUGGGAUCUUAGCUCCGCGACCAGGGAUUGAACCUAUAUCCCCUGCAU
Bos taurus (domestic cattle) is the source of this 3003-nucleotide long non-coding RNA. NCBI's taxonomy places the organism in Eukaryota, Metazoa, Chordata, Mammalia, Artiodactyla, Bovidae. The record is from Ensembl.